This 851-nucleotide transfer RNA is filed under the name uncultured Synechococcus sp. Its description in RNAcentral is "partial contains 16S ribosomal RNA, 16S-23S ribosomal RNA intergenic spacer, and 23S ribosomal RNA". The stretch from base 281 to 353 matches the Rfam family "tRNA". The record is from RNAcentral. Lineage: Bacteria; Bacillati; Cyanobacteriota; Cyanophyceae; Synechococcales; Synechococcaceae.
UUGGAUCACCUCCUAACAGGGAGACAAACAACGAUUUUGAUGCUGAGUGCUUUUAUUCUUAGGCCGAAAUCCUGUCACUUAGGUCGAUCGGUACCUCAGCUUUGAAGUCAAGAAUGUGCAGCGAUGCAAGUUGCUUGAUGGAGAUUCUUAGUUCCUAAACUUUGUCUAGGUCACACCCCAAAAGGGAUGAGACUCCUGGGCCAUUAGCUCAGGUGGUUAGAGCGCACCCCUGAUAAGGGUGAGGUCCCUGGUUCAAGUCCAGGAUGGCCCAUUCGGUGUUGGGGGUUUAGCUCAGUUGGUAGAGCGCCUGCUUUGCAAGCAGGAUGUCAGGAGUUCGAGUCUCCUAACCUCCACUGACCGAACUUUGUCCCCAGCUUCAUUUGAUGGAGUUGAGCUCGAUUGGAGUGUGAUUUAGACGUGUCCGCUGGAUGACCCCAGCUUCCUGUCAUUCCAAAUGAAAGCAAAAAAGUUUUUGCUGAAUGUAUUUGGUUGAUAAGACGCUGGGCUCAAGUUAAAUGAUCAAGCAAUUGAUGAUUUGAUUUGAAGUUCUAGCAGAACCUUGACAACUGCAUAGGUGAGUCUGGAAAGAAUAAAGCAUCUCAUGGAUGAUGCGAUGAUUCUUUUCUGUGAUCCGAAAGGAUGAUGGAGAAGGAGAGUUGCAAAUUCUAUCGAGCAAGAGCCGAGACUCCAUCACGUUCUUUCAAUUGUGUCGAGCAAUUGCGAGUUUGAUUCUUGAUUCAACAAUGAAUCAGGGAGAAUCUGUUUCAACGACAGCAAGCGUGUUGGUGAUUAUAUGGUCAAGCUACAAAGAGCUCACGGCGGAUACCUUGGCACACAGAGGCGAUGAAGGA